AGAGAGAGAGAGAGAGAGAGUUGUAUCCAACUCAUUAUACUGGCUAGUUGCUAUGUCAGCCUUGGCAAUGACCUAGAAAGGAAUCGGUAAUUUGCUUCAAUUGCUAUACUAAUCAUCUAUAAAAUUGAUUAAUGUUUAUAAUAUUUCUUUAGUCAUUAGCCCUUGAUUUUCUUUAUUUAAAUUAAAUUUCCUAUUUCAAAGCCACUAUGGCACUGCUGUUGCUUGAUAAUGUGUUGAUGUUUCUGCAGCUAUGCUCUUUUUGAUAUGGAU
Molecule: unclassified non-coding RNA, 270 nt
Filed under: Hevea brasiliensis (rubber tree)
Lineage: Eukaryota; Viridiplantae; Streptophyta; Magnoliopsida; Malpighiales; Euphorbiaceae
Source: RNAcentral